AUGACAUAAUUCAACAACAGUUGCAGCGGUAAUACUUUGUAGCUCAAAGAUUAGUUCAGACGCCCUAUAAUACCGCGAGUAAAUGUACGAUAUGUUAAGCUUUACUAAAUCUAUGAAUACAUGAUACAGGAAUAAACCAAAAGAGAGAAUAGUACCAGUCUGCAAGCGCUCCAAAAAUUACAAAUCUUAUCCUCAUGUGUAUGAUUAACUGUAAAACAAACAAAAAAAUACCUAAUAGGUUUAAGUAGACACAUUUUGCAUGAAAAAACCC
RNAcentral lists this long non-coding RNA (271 nucleotides) under Sorghum bicolor (sorghum). Its description in RNAcentral is "long non-coding RNA (SBIC_LNC018681)". The record is from RNAcentral. Lineage: Eukaryota; Viridiplantae; Streptophyta; Magnoliopsida; Poales; Poaceae.